AUUGAACGCUGGCGGCAUGCCUUACACAUGCAAGUCGAACGGCAGCACGGGAGCAAUCCUGGUGGCGAGUGGCGAACGGGUGAGUAAUAUAUCGGAACGUGCCCAGUCGUGGGGAUAACGUAGCGAAAGCUGCGCUAAUACCGCAUACGAUCUAUGGAUGAAAGCGGGGGAUCGCAAGACCUCGCGCGAUUGGAGCGGCCGAUAUCAGAUUAGGUAGUUGGUGAGGUAAAGGCUCACCAAGCCGACGAUCUGUAGCUGGUACUGACGAGGACGACCAGCCACACUGGGACUGAGACACGG
Molecule: ribosomal RNA, 300 nt
Filed under: uncultured bacterium
Lineage: Bacteria
Description: bacterial SSU rRNA
Rfam family: Bacterial small subunit ribosomal RNA
Source: RNAcentral